AAAAUGUGUGUGAUGUGAAACCACAGAGACUCCAUGGAAGCCUACACUUGAGAUCCCAGGAGAUCUGAAGGAGAAUGACUCUGUCUCCGUGAGCUGCUCAGCUCUCACUCCCUGUCCACACUCACCUCCUCAACUCACCUGGAGCCUCCAACAGCUCGCUGUCAGCCACACGAAGGAAAACCACGACCGAACGUUAUCCACUAAGAUCCAGGAGAACAUCACCCUCUCAGACCAACACGAUGGACUGAACAUCAGCUGCUCCGCCUCGUACCUUGUGGGUGGAGGAAGAAUGAAGACAUCAGAGGCUGCAAUGACUCUCAGUGUUUCCUGUGAGUCGUCCUGUCUGCUCGUCCUGCUUCACAAUGUAAGUAAUGGUGAUUAAAGUUAAACCUGCUCCUGCUUUGAUCCUCAGAUGCUCCUAAAGACACGUCAGCGUCCAUCAGUCCAUCAGCUUUGGUGUCAGCAGGUAGCUGGGUCAACCUGACGUGCUCCAGCAGAGCCAAGCCUGCAGUCAGCAGCUUCAGCUGGUUCAGGAUCAGCCAAGGUAGAGCCAUCAGAGAGUCUGAAGGACACUUGUACAGCUUCAACGUGAGCCAAGGAGGAGUUUAUUACUGUGUGGCCACCAAUAAUCUGGGUAACCAGACAUCCCAGCACAUCUAUCUGUCUGUCCACGGUAAACAUACUUCACUCAUCAAGAAAAAAGCAAAUAUGUGGCAUUAUGGUUCAAUUUCUAAAACCAAAUAUGGAUUUCUGUUUGUUUGUAUUCAGGAAGCUCACUGGGAGCCAUUAUUGGAGGAAUCACUGCAACCUUCAUACUCAUCUGUACAAUUUUAAUCUUUUGGUGGUUAAAGUCAACACGGCGAACACCUCAAAACACGCAGACUGUUGUUCUUCAAGACCCAUCGAGAGCCGCGCAAACAGAAGAAAUCCAUUAUGGAGAGAUAGAUUUCACCAAAAUGAGACCUAAGUCAUUAUUAGACUCAAGCCACAGAUUGCAGCAGCAGGACGUUGUAUAUUCACAGGUCAGAGUGAAUAAAACUGGAAUGUGCUCAGCUCA
RNAcentral lists this long non-coding RNA (1057 nucleotides) under Gouania willdenowi (blunt-snouted clingfish). RNAcentral describes it as "lncRNA (ENSGWIG00000016961.1)". Lineage: Eukaryota; Metazoa; Chordata; Actinopteri; Blenniiformes; Gobiesocidae. The record is from RNAcentral.